AGAAAAUAAGGGGAAAUCGGGUAAAAAUUAUGGGUUUGCUACGUUAAAAGCUAUGGGUUUACUCCGUCCCCAUCAGGUAAAAGUUGCACAUCUAUGGUAGAAGAAAAUAAGGGAGAUAGAAGAAAAGUAAAAAUUUCCGACUGAAAUUGUCGGUCUUUCCCCGGUCCGGCGAGCUUUCACCGGUGAUAUAGGGAGGUGGUUGACGCUGGUUCACGUGAAGGGCGACGACGUGAAGCCGAAGGGUCUUUUGGUCUCUGCUGGCGGACAGCCAUGGUAGAGUAGCUGGUCGUUUGGACAGCAGACCGGUGGUUGUCGGAGGUUGUUGCUGUGGUGUGAUGAUGGACUAAAGGUGUUGUAGGGGCGACGGCUGGUUUGAGGGGACGUUGGCUUAGGGUUUUCAGUUGUUUUUGUUCACCUCCUUGAAGAAGAAGGGGAACAGUAGCUCUCAAAAUCUGUUCGUGUCCGUUUGGUUGAGUCCCUUCUGACGUGUAACAUUACGAUUGGGUCAGUGCUGACCGGAUGGACACGUUAGUGAAUGUGUAAUACACGCGCGGAUAGUCAAGGGUCAAACGUGUUUAUUAGUUAUGAGUUUCACGAGUUUAAGUGUUUAAAU
Molecule: long non-coding RNA, 613 nt
Filed under: Nicotiana benthamiana
Lineage: Eukaryota; Viridiplantae; Streptophyta; Magnoliopsida; Solanales; Solanaceae
Description: long non-coding RNA (NBEN_LNC011900)
Source: RNAcentral